This is a non-coding RNA of Podospora australis, 90 nucleotides long. NCBI's taxonomy places the organism in Eukaryota, Fungi, Ascomycota, Sordariomycetes, Sordariales, Podosporaceae. The record is from the annotation of a GenBank genome assembly.
GGGCGUAUGGUCUAGUAGUAUGACAUCACAUUUGCAUCGGGACCGUGCAAAGCCUUGUGAGGGUCCCGCGUUCGAUCCGCGGUUCGUCCA